UACAGAGGGUGCGAGCGUUAAUCGGAAUUACUGGGCGUAAAGCGCGCGUAGGCGGCUUUGCAAGUCGGGUGUGAAAUCCCCAGGCUUAACCUGGGAACUGCAUUCGAGACUGCAUUGCUAGAGUAUGGGAGAGGGAAGUGGAAUUUCCGGUGUAGCGGUGAAAUGCGUAGAUAUUGGGAAGAACACCGGUGGCGAAGGCGGCAACCUGGUCCUUGACUGACGCUGAGGCGCGAAAGCGUGGGGAGCAAACAGG
RNAcentral lists this ribosomal RNA (253 nucleotides) under uncultured bacterium. Its description in RNAcentral is "partial 16S ribosomal RNA". It matches the Rfam family "Bacterial small subunit ribosomal RNA", at positions 524 to 776 of the family's 1533-position model. The record is from RNAcentral.